This 433-nucleotide ribosomal RNA is filed under the name uncultured bacterium. RNAcentral describes it as "partial 16S ribosomal RNA". It matches the Rfam family "Bacterial small subunit ribosomal RNA", at positions 29 to 507 of the family's 1533-position model. The record is from RNAcentral.
AACGAACGCUGGCGGCAUGCCUAACACAUGCAAGUCGAACGAGACCUUCGGGUCUAGUGGCGCACGGGUGCAUAACGCGUGGGAACCUGCCCUUAGGUUCGGAAUAACUCCCCGAAAGGGGUGCUAAUACCGGAUAAUGUCUUCGGACCAAAGAUUUAUCGCCUUUGGAUGGGCCCGCGUUGGAUUAGCUAGUUGGUAGGGUAAAAGCCUACCAAGGCGACGAUCCAUAGCUGGUCUGGGAGGAUGAUCAGCCACACUGGGACUGAGACACGGCCCAGACUCCUACGGGAGGCAGCAGUGGGGAAUAUUGGACAAUGGGCGAAAGCCUGAUCCAGCAAUGCCGCGUGAGUGAUGAAGGCCUUAGGGUUGUAAAGCUCUUUUACCCGGGAUGAUAAUGACAGUACCGGGAGAAUAAGCUCCGGCUAACUCCGUG